Colius striatus (speckled mousebird) is the source of this 73-nucleotide non-coding RNA. Lineage: Eukaryota; Metazoa; Chordata; Aves; Coliiformes; Coliidae. The record is from Rfam.
UAGGCAGAAGCUUGCUGGUUUGAGCAUCUAGCUGUUAAUUAGGGUGUUAUGGGAUUGAGGCCCAUCUGCCUAG